GGCAAGAUGGCCGAGCGGUUAAGGCGUGUGACUCAAGUGUUAAAGCUAGCUUCCUUCUCAUGGGCGAAUGUCCGCGUGGGUUCAAGUCCCACUCUUGUCA
Molecule: transfer RNA, 100 nt
Filed under: Gymnopus androsaceus JB14
Lineage: Eukaryota; Fungi; Basidiomycota; Agaricomycetes; Agaricales; Omphalotaceae
Rfam family: tRNA
About the family: Transfer RNA (tRNA) molecules are approximately 80 nucleotides in length. Their secondary structure includes four short double-helical elements and three loops (D, anti-codon, and T loops).
Source: Rfam by way of RNAcentral